UAACGAGUAGUUUAAGUAAAACAGCAGGUUGUGGCUCUGCAGAUGGUGUUGUCUUUCGUUAG
RNAcentral lists this transfer RNA (62 nucleotides) under Lamprotula cornuumlunae. RNAcentral describes it as "tRNA-His". The record is from RNAcentral. Lineage: Eukaryota; Metazoa; Mollusca; Bivalvia; Unionida; Unionidae.